AGAGUUUGAUCCUGGCUCAGGAUGAACGCUGGCGGCAUGCCUAAUACAUGCAAGUCGAACGGGGUGCUUGCACCCAGUGGCGAACGGGUGAGUAACACGUAUCUAAUCUACCUUUUAGUGGGGGAUAACAGUUGGAAACGACUGCUAAUACCGCAUACGACAUCAUUAUCGCAUGAGAAGAUGUUGAAAGGCCCGUUUGGGUCGCUAGAAGAUGAGGAUGCGGCGUAUUAGCUAGUAGGUGGGGUAAAGGCCCACCUAGGCGAUGAUACGUAGCCGAACUGAGAGGUUGAUCGGCCACAUUGGGACUGAGAUACGGCCCAGACUCCUACGGGAGGCAGCAGUAGGGAAUUUUUCACAAUGGGCGAAAGCCUGAUGAAGCAAUGCCGCGUGAGUGAUGACGGUCUUCGGAUUGUAAAGCUCUGUUGUAAGGGAAGAACAGCUAGAAGAGGAAAUGCUUUUAGUUUGACGGUACCUUACCAGAAAGCCACGGCUAACUAUGUGCCAGCAGCCGCGGUAAUACAUAGGUGGCAAGCGUUAUCCGGAUUUAUUGGGCGUAUAGGGUGCGUAGGAGGUUAGUUAAGUUUGAGGUUAAAGCCCGGAGCUCAACUCCGGUUCGCCUUGAAAACUGGCUAACUAGAAUGCAGGAGAGGUAGAUGGAAUUCCAUGUGUAGCGGUGAAAUGCGUAGAUAUAUGGAGGAACACCAGUGGCGUAGGCGGUCUACUGGCCUGUUAUUGACUCUGAGGCACGAAAGCGUGGGGAGCAAAUAGGAUUAGAUACCCUAGUAGUCCACGCCGUAAACGUUGAGUACUAAGUGUCGGCAUUAAGUCGGUGCUGCAGCUAACGCAUUAAGUACUCCGCCUGAGUAGUAUGCUCGCAAGAGUGAAAC
Molecule: ribosomal RNA, 887 nt
Filed under: Heliconius timareta ssp. JD-2011
Lineage: Eukaryota; Metazoa; Arthropoda; Insecta; Lepidoptera; Nymphalidae
Description: bacterial SSU rRNA
Rfam family: Bacterial small subunit ribosomal RNA
Source: RNAcentral